RNAcentral lists this ribosomal RNA (672 nucleotides) under Salmonella enterica subsp. enterica serovar Derby. Its description in RNAcentral is "bacterial SSU rRNA". It matches the Rfam family "Bacterial small subunit ribosomal RNA", at positions 1 to 661 of the family's 1533-position model. Lineage: Bacteria; Pseudomonadati; Pseudomonadota; Gammaproteobacteria; Enterobacterales; Enterobacteriaceae. The record is from RNAcentral.
UAGAAAGAUUAAACUGAAGAGUUUGAUCAUGGCUCAGAUUGAACGCUGGCGGCAGGCUUAACACAUGCAAGUCGAACGAUGAUUUCCCAGCUUGCUGGGAAUGAUUAGUGGCGGACGGGUGAGUAACAUUUAGGAAUCUGCCUAGUAGUGGGGGAUAGCUCGGGGAAACUCGAAUUAAUACCGCAUACGACCUACGGGUGAAAGGGGGCGCAAGCUCUUGCUAUUAGAUGAGCCUAAAUCAGAUUAGCUAGUUGGUGGGGUAAAGGCCCACCAAGGCGACGAUCUGUAACUGGUCUGAGAGGAUGAUCAGUCACACCGGAACUGAGACACGGUCCGGACUCCUACGGGAGGCAGCAGUGGGGAAUAUUGGACAAUGGGGGCAACCCUGAUCCAGCCAUGCCGCGUGUGUGAAGAAGGCCUUUUGGUUGUAAAGCACUUUAAGCAGGGAGGAGAGGCUAAUGGUUAAUACCCAUUAGAUUAGACGUUACCUGCAGAAUAAGCACCGGCUAACUCUGUGCCAGCAGCCGCGGUAAUACAGAGGGUGCGAGCGUUAAUCGGAAUUACUGGGCGUAAAGCGAGUGUAGGUGGCUCAUUAAGUCACAUGUGAAAUCCCCGGGCUUAACCUGGGAACUGCAUGUGAUACUGGUGGUGCUAGAAUAUGUGAGAGGGAAG